GUGCAGCAGGCGAGAAACUUCCACAAUGGGGGAAACCCUGAUGGAGCGACGCCGCGUGCGGGAUGAAGGCCCUAUGGGUUGUAAACCGCUGUUCAGUGGAAAGAACAUCCUCCGGCUGAAUAGGUCGGAGGCCUGACGUUACCACUGCAGAAAGUCCCGGCCAACUCCGUGCCAGCAGCCGCGGUAAUACGGGGGGGACGAGCGUUGUCCGGAAUCAUUGGGCGUAAAGGGCGCGUAGGCGGCGAGGAAAGUCGAAUGUGAAAUCUUGCGGCUCAACUGCAAAACUGCGUUCGAAACUUCCUCGCUUGAGUAUGAGAGAGGUGUGCGGAAUUCCUGGUGUAGCGGUGGAAUGCGUAGAUAUCAGGAGGAAC
RNAcentral lists this ribosomal RNA (371 nucleotides) under uncultured microorganism. RNAcentral's name for it is "bacterial SSU rRNA". It matches the Rfam family "Bacterial small subunit ribosomal RNA", at positions 346 to 707 of the family's 1533-position model. The record is from RNAcentral.